RNAcentral lists this ribosomal RNA (1131 nucleotides) under Legionella pneumophila. Its description in RNAcentral is "partial 23S ribosomal RNA". It matches the Rfam family "Bacterial large subunit ribosomal RNA", at positions 613 to 1742 of the family's 2925-position model. The record is from RNAcentral. Lineage: Bacteria; Pseudomonadati; Pseudomonadota; Gammaproteobacteria; Legionellales; Legionellaceae.
UAAUGGGUCAGCGAGUUACUUUCAGUGGCGAGGUUAACUGAAUAAGGGAGCCGUAGAGAAAUCGAGUCUGAAUAGGGCGAUAGUCGCUGGGAGUAGACCCGAAACCGGGCGAUCUAGCCAUGUGCAGGAUGAAGGUUGGGUAACACCAACUGGAGGUCCGAACCGGGUAAUGUUGAAAAAUUAUCGGAUGACGUGUGGCUAGGAGUGAAAGGCUAAUCAAGCCCGGAGAUAGCUGGUUCUCCCCGAAAGCUAUUUAGGUAGCGCCUCGUGAAUGAUUACUGGGGGUAGAGCACUGUUUCGGCUAGGGGGCUGUCAUGGCUUACCAAACCGAUGCAAACUCCGAAUACCGGCUAAUUGGAUCACGGGAGACACACGGCGGGUGCUAACGUCCGUCGUGGAGAGGGAAACAACCCAGACCGCCAGCUAAGGUCCCCAAGUACUAGUUAAGUGGGAAACGAUGUGGGAAGGCAUAGACAGCCAGGAGGUUGGCUUAGAAGCAGCCACCCUUUAAAGAAAGCGUAAUAGCUCACUGGUCGAGUCGGCCUGCGCGGAAGAUGUAACGGGGCUAAAACUAGUCACCGAAGCUGCGGAUGUGCGCGAAGGCGCACGUGGUAGGGGAGCGUUCUGUAGGCUGAUGAAGGUGCAUUGAGAAGUGUGCUGGAGGUAUCAGAAGUGCGAAUGCUGACAUGAGUAACGAUAAUGUGGGUGAAAAGCCCACACGCCGGAAGUCCCAGGUUUCCUGCACGACGUUAAUCGGAGCAGGGUGAGUCGGCCCCUAAGGCGAGGCUGAAGAGCGUAGUCGAUGGGAACCAGGUUAAUAUUCCUGGACUUUUUAUAAGUGGUGAAGUGGGGACGAAGAAGGCUAGGUGAGCCAGGCGUUGGUUGUCCUGGUACUUGCAUGUAGGGGGGAAGACUUGGCAAAUCCGGUUUUCCAUAACUCUGAGGUGCGAAGUGGUUCUGACCUUUUGGUACAGAGAAGUCAUUGAUGCCCGGCUUCCAGGAAAAGCUGCUAGCCAUAACUUAUAGAGAACCGUACCGCAAACCGACACAGGUGGACAGGUAGAGAAUACUAAGGCGCUUGAGAGAACUCGGGUGAAGGAACUAGGCAAAAUGGUACCGUAACUUCGGGAG